GGUUGCGUGGCCCAGUGGUUAAGGCAUCUGCUUUACAAACGAUAACGCAGAGGAUCGCAGGUUCGAGCCCUGCCGCGAUCA
Molecule: transfer RNA, 81 nt
Organism: Neurospora tetrasperma FGSC 2509
Lineage: Eukaryota; Fungi; Ascomycota; Sordariomycetes; Sordariales; Sordariaceae
Rfam family: tRNA
About the family: Transfer RNA (tRNA) molecules are approximately 80 nucleotides in length.
Source: Rfam